This 706-nucleotide ribosomal RNA is filed under the name uncultured Alphaproteobacteria bacterium. RNAcentral describes it as "bacterial SSU rRNA". It matches the Rfam family "Bacterial small subunit ribosomal RNA", at positions 1 to 748 of the family's 1533-position model. The record is from RNAcentral. Lineage: Bacteria; Pseudomonadati; Pseudomonadota; Alphaproteobacteria.
CCGCGGGAUUAGAGUUUGAUCCUGGCUCAGAACGAACGCUGGCGGCAGGCCUCAAACAUGCAAGUCUAGGGGGUGUAGCAAUACAUCACCGGCGGACGGGUGCGUAACACGUGGGAAUAUACCUUUUGGUUCGGAACAACGCAGGGAAACUUGCGCUAAUACCGAAUGUGCCCUUACGGGGAAAGAUUUAUCGCCAAAGGAUUAGCCCGCGUAGGAUUAGCUAGUUGGUGAGGUAAUGGCUCACCAAGGCUCCGAUCCUUAGCUGUUCUGAGAGGAAGAUCAGCCACACUGGGACUGAGACACGGCCCAGACUCCUACGGGAGGCAGCAGUUGGGAAUCUUGGACAAUGGGGGAAACCCUGAUCCAGCCAUGCCGCGUGAGUGAUGAAGGCCUUCGGGUUGUAAAACUCUUUCGACGGGGACGAUAAUGACGGUACCCGUAGAAGAAGCUCCGGCUAACUUCGUGCCAGCAGCCGCGGUAAUACGAAGGGGGCUAGCGUUGUUCGGAAUUACUGGGCGUAAAGCGCGCGCAGGCGGUUCUUCAAGUCAGUGGUGAAAGCCCGGAGAUCAACUCCGGAACUGCCAUUGAAACUGUGGAACUUGAGGACGAGAGAGGUGAGUGGAAUUCCCAGUGUAGAGGUGAAAUUCGUAGAUAUUGGGAAGAACACCGGUGGCGAAGGCGGCUCACUGGCUAGUAUCUGACGCUC